UCGGUGACACGGACGGAGGUGGAGCGUUCCGGACAAAGGGGACAAGGGCGCUGAGGCCCAGAGCGUCCUGCUGCGGGAGGGAGGGGGCCGCGGGGAGCCGCCGAUCGCCCGCACUGGUAGGCUGGCUUUCCUGGUGGAGCCCCCGGCGUCCAGUGCGUGGACGCCCUCCCUGCUCUUUACCUCCCCGCCAGCAGCAGGCAGACCUCCUUCCUCCUGGGGUCACAGGAUGGCGGUCCCGGCUGCAGUCAGGCCGACACUCAGCGCCCAGGAGGGCAAGGGAGCCGCCCCCCUCGCCCUCCCCGCCUGGAACUGGCUUCGGACACCUAGACCCGUCACCGGGAGGGAAAUGAAGCCCAUCAGGGUUUGUCUCGGGGCCGGGCCUCCGCUCCUAGCACCCAGGAAGAGGAGAUCAGGACACAGUCAUGCAGACCGACGGCCCGUGAGGACGUGGGGAGAAGUCUGCAAGCCAGGGACGAGCCGGCUCUGCUCACUCCUUGAUGUGGGACUUCCAGCCUCAGACCGUGAGAAAAUAAAUCCCUGUCACUUAAGUGCCUGCUCUUCAGUCUUUGCUACAGCGGCCCCAGGAACGCAUGCAGUGGCGGUCCGAGGGCGGGUAUCCCCGCCCAGGGUGGGGGUGCUGGUGAAGUGGGCGGCCCCUGGGUGGGGUCUAGCUCUUACCCCUUUGUGUGUUGUGGGUGCCACUGUCUGCAUCCUGUUCCAGGAGAGAAGGGGUGGGGGCAGGGCUGAGCAUCUGCAGCCUGUCUACUUGUGUGCGGGGGGUUUGUCCUGACACCCCUUCCUGCCAUCGCCUGGGCCUGGGGGCUGUUCUUGGAGGUCAGCAGGGUCUUUCCCACGCUCUGGCUGAACCUCGGGCACUUACCUGCCUCCCAGGCCUUCUCUCCUUCACCUGUGGAGCAGGGUGGCCAUGAGAGGCUUUGGAGGGCAGCUGUGAGUCCGGAUCACGGUGAGAGGCAAGGGUGCUGCCCAAGGGGCCAGAAACGGGCAAGGGUGCGUCUGGUGCUGCGAGGAGGCGGUGUCGUCACCCCAGUGUCGAGAGCAGGGAGGCGUCUGCGGGCUGGGCACGGGUGGGCGGAGGUCCUGGACUCACGCCGGCUCUGCCCCCCGCCCUCCGGCCGCCUGCCCCCUCCAGGCAGGUCUAAGGGGACACAAGAAGGUGGGGACUCCCCCACAACAAGACACUAGAACACAGGUGAUUUCUCCCUGAGGGCCUUCCCAGGGCCACAGACCCAGCAGGCUCACAAUCUGAUGAGAACUCAGCCGUAACUGUGAUACCUGCUGGCCCCCGGCCUGGGUCUGACACCCAUGAGUGCUCUGUGCUGGCCUAGCAGGCCCCGCAGUGUCACCAAGGUCUCAUCUCCGCGCCUAGCAGGCGCCUCCGUCUGCUGGAACUGCCCAGCACCUGCAAUGAGCCGCUUUCUGCUCCAGGCCCCGGCCCUCCCCCCAGUGCUGGGUGCCCGGUUGAGGGGUGGCCAAGGCCCUCUGAAGCACCUGCUGACUGCUGCCUGCAGAGACCUACCCCAGCCCGGAACUUGGAAGCAAGCACCCAGCCGCUGGUGAUAAACCUCUUGUGUGCGCCCCUGCGGGUGCUCCCCAUCCAGGGCUGGUGGCCUCCCCGACAGACGAUACUUUCCAGGGGCCUGAAAAGGACUGGCUUUGGGCUGCAAGGCUUGCCUUAGGAUCGGAGCUCCAAAAGGAGUCAGAGAUGGGAAGAUCCACUUUGAAGACAGGAUGGGGGACAAGUACAGAAACCUAGACGGUACAGAAAAUUGGCUUGGCCCUUUCUUCUAAAGAUUUCAGGAGAAAUUGUAUAGAACUAUCUCAGAAGCAAGGGUUCUCCCCCAGAAUCCUUCCUCCCCACGUGGUCCUCACCCUCGACAAGUCAGCUGCGAGUACGUAUCCCUGUUUGAGGGGAGGGAAGCAUGGCUCUGAGGGGCUGCUGAGGGCAGAGCAUUGCCGCAGAGAACCUCUCGGGCCCUGAAACUGGGUGGACUCUUCCCCGCUGAACUCUGGACUUAAUUGGAACAGAGAGCUCUUGAUUUCUUCCAGUGUCUCCCUUUAGGAAUGGAAACGUCUGUCCUAUGCUUGUCCCACCAUUGCAUUUUGGAAGCAGAUAACUUGUUUCUAGAGACACAGGUCCACCAAUGGAGAACUUUGCGUCAGGCUGGGUCAAACCUGGAAUCUCACCCAGACCCGAGUUACCCAAUGGGUCUUGCACUUCUGAGCUGAUGACAUUUAGAUGAGAUUUUUGGACUCAGUCAAGCUCUAAUGGGGAUCUUCCAGACCCAGGGAUCGAACCAGUGUCUCUUGCAUUGGCAGGUGGAUUCUUUACCACUAAUGCCACACAAUCAUCCCACAUUAAGAGACUUAGCUACUGGACCACCAGGGAAGUCCCACAGAUGUCCUUGUAAGGGAAGAAAAGGGUAGAAGACACAGAUGAAAAGGUGGCGUGAUGAUGGAGGUAGAGCUUGGAGCGAUGCCUCUGCAGACCGUGAGAUGCC
Long non-coding RNA from Cervus elaphus (red deer), 2519 nucleotides. RefSeq lists it as uncharacterized. The transcript has 4 exons. NCBI's taxonomy places the organism in Eukaryota, Metazoa, Chordata, Mammalia, Artiodactyla, Cervidae. The record is from RefSeq and is a predicted model, not a curated record.